Molecule: long non-coding RNA, 208 nt
Filed under: Mytilus galloprovincialis (Mediterranean mussel)
Lineage: Eukaryota; Metazoa; Mollusca; Bivalvia; Mytilida; Mytilidae
Source: RNAcentral
CGUCCUCACUACGACCAUACCACGAUUUAUCCGAUUGCAACACGAUCUUACCACGCUUCUACUGCGAUUAUAGCACGCUCUUAACACGACCAAACUACGAUCAUACCACGUUCAUACCGCGAUCUUACUUCGCUCCCAGCAAUAACGUCAACAUCGUGUUCCAUAUUAAUACUGUAUCAUUCCUUCUAUUUCUCAUUGAUACGUAGAG